AGAGUUUGAUCAUGGCUCAGGAUGAACGCUGGCGGCGUGCCUAAUACAUGCAAGUCGAGCGAGAAUCAGUGAAGUAGAGAUUCGUCAAAGCGGAUCUGAGGAAAGCGGCGGACGGGUGAGUAACGCGUAGGCAACCUGCCCUUAGCAGAGGGAUAGCCAUUGGAAACGAUGAUUAAAGCCUCAUAAUGCUGUUUUAACACAUGUUAUGACAGCCAAAGAUUUAUCGGCUAAGGAUGGGCCUGCGUCUGAUUAACUAGUUGGUGAGGUAACGGCUCACCAAGGUGACGAUCAGUAGCCGACCUGAGAGGGUGAUCGGCCACAUUGGAACUGAGACACGGUCCAAACUUCUACGGAAGGCAGCAGUAAGGAAUCUUGCACAAUGGGGGAAACCCUGAUGCAGCAACGCCGCGUGAACGAUGAAGGCCUUAGGGUUGUAAAGUUCUGAUCUGUGGGAAGAAGAAGUGACGGUACCACAGGAGAAAGCCCCGGCUAAAUACGUGCCAGCAGCCGCGGUAAUACGUAUGGGGCAAGCGUUAUCCGGAAUUAUUGGGCGUAAAGAGUGCGUAGGUGGUUACCUAAGCGCAAGGUUUAAUCUUGAGGCUCAACCUCAUUCUGCCUUGCGAACUGGGCUACUUGAGUGCAGGAGGGGAAAGCGGAAUUCCCAGUGUAGCGGUGAAAUGCGUAGAUAUUGGGAAGAACACCGGUGCGAAGGCGGCUUUCUGGACUGUAACUGACACUGAGGCACGAAAGCGUGGGGAGCAAACAGGAUUAGAUACCCUGGUAGUCC
RNAcentral lists this ribosomal RNA (787 nucleotides) under uncultured bacterium. RNAcentral's name for it is "bacterial SSU rRNA". It matches the Rfam family "Bacterial small subunit ribosomal RNA", at positions 8 to 796 of the family's 1533-position model. The record is from RNAcentral.